This 619-nucleotide ribosomal RNA is filed under the name uncultured bacterium. RNAcentral describes it as "bacterial SSU rRNA". It matches the Rfam family "Bacterial small subunit ribosomal RNA", at positions 338 to 956 of the family's 1533-position model. The record is from RNAcentral.
CCUACGGGAGGCAGCAGUGGGGAAUUUUGGACAAUGGGCGAAAGCCUGAUCCAGCAAUGCCGCGUGAGUGAAGAAGGCCUUCGGGUUGUAAAGCUCUUUUGUCAGGGAAGAAACGGUGAGGGCUAAUAUCCCUUGCUAAUGACGGUACCUGAAGAAUAAGCACCGGCUAACUACGUGCCAGCAGCCGCGGUAAUACGUAGGGUGCAAGCGUUAAUCGGAAUUACUGGGCGUAAAGCGUGCGCAGGCGGUUUUGUAAGUCUGUCGUGAAAUCCCCGGGCUCAACCUGGGAAUUGCGAUGGAGACUGCAAGGCUAGAAUCUGGCAGAGGGGGGUAGAAUUCCACGUGUAGCAGUGAAAUGCGUAGAGAUGUGGAGGAACACCGAUGGCGAAGGCAGCCCCCUGGGUCAAGAUUGACGCUCAUGCACGAAAGCGUGGGGAGCAAACAGGAUUAGAUACCCUGGUAGUCCACGCCCUAAACGAUGUCUACUAGUUGUCGGGUUUUAAUUAACUUGGUAACGCAGCUAACGCGUGAAGUAGACCGCCUGGGGAGUACGGUCGCAAGAUUAAAACCUUAAUGAAUUGACCGGNUGAGACGNGCGACGACGACGACGAGGAGGAGG